This 361-nucleotide ribosomal RNA is filed under the name uncultured Caryophanaceae bacterium. RNAcentral's name for it is "bacterial SSU rRNA". It matches the Rfam family "Bacterial small subunit ribosomal RNA", at positions 1021 to 1382 of the family's 1533-position model. Lineage: Bacteria; Bacillati; Bacillota; Bacilli; Caryophanales; Caryophanaceae. The record is from RNAcentral.
CGGUACAUCGGUGACAGGUGGUGGCAUGGUUGUCGUCAGCUCGUGUCGUGAGAUGUUGGGUUAAGUCCCGCAACGAGCGCAACCCCUAUUGUUAGUUGCCAUCAUUCAGUUGGGCACUCUAGCGAGACUGCCGGUAAUAAACCGGAGGAAGGUGGGGAUGACGUCAAAUCAUCAUGCCCCUUAUGACCUGGGCUACACACGUGCUACAAUGGGCGGUACAAAGGGUCGCGAACCCGCGAGGGGGAGCCAAUCCCAAAAAGCCGCUCUCAGUUCGGACUGCAGGCUGCAACUCGCCUGCAUGAAGCCGGAAUCGCUAGUAAUCGCGGAUCAGCAUGCCGCAGUGAAUACGUUCCCGGGCCUU